CCUACGGGUGGCAGCAGUGGGGAAUAUUGGGCAAUGGGCGCAAGUCUGACCCAGCAACGCCGCGUGAAGGAAGAAGGCUUUCGGGUUGUAAACUUCUUUUCUCAGGGACGAAGCAAGUGACGGUACUUGAGUAAUAAGCCACGGCUAACUACGUGCCAGCAGCCGCGGUAAUACGUAGGGGGCAAGCGUUAUCCGGAUUUACUGGGUGGAAAGGGCGUGUAGGCGGGACUGCAAGUCAGAUGUGAAAACCACGGGCUCAACCUGUGGACUGCAUUUGAAACUGGAGGUCUUGAGUACUGGAGAGGCAGACAGAAUUCCUGGUGUAGCGGUGAAAUGCGUAGAUAUUAGGAGGAACACCAGUGGCGAAGGCGGUCUGCUGGACAGCGACUGACGCUGAGGCGCGAAAGCGUGGGGAGCAAACAGGAUUAGAUACCCUGGUAGUC
RNAcentral lists this ribosomal RNA (443 nucleotides) under uncultured bacterium. RNAcentral's name for it is "partial 16S ribosomal RNA". It matches the Rfam family "Bacterial small subunit ribosomal RNA", at positions 338 to 795 of the family's 1533-position model. The record is from RNAcentral.